CGCUGAUCACGACCCCGAAACUGUGUCUGAGCCUGAGGCUGAUCCUGGACAUGACAGCGAGACUGACGAUGAUCUGAGGGGCCCGGCUGAGGUACCACCACCACCACCACCACAUCAGGAUGGUGCGGACAUCCACUAUGUGAAUGAUUUUUUUGUUCGAGAUACGGAGUUGGGA
Salarias fasciatus (jewelled blenny) is the source of this 175-nucleotide long non-coding RNA. RefSeq lists it as uncharacterized. The transcript is spliced from 3 exons. The record is from RefSeq and is a predicted model, not a curated record. Lineage: Eukaryota; Metazoa; Chordata; Actinopteri; Blenniiformes; Blenniidae.